AUUGAACGCUGGCGGCAUGCCUUACACAUGCAAGUCGAACGGCAGCGGACCUUCGGGCGCCGGCGAGUGGCGAACGGGUGAGUAAUAUAUCGGAACGUACCUUUCGAGUGGGGGAUAACGUAGCGAAAGUUACGCUAAUACCGCAUAUUCUGUGAGCAGGAAAGGCAGGGGAUCGCAAGACCUUGCGCUGAUUGAGCGGCCGAUAUCAGAUUAGCUAGUUGGUGAGGUAAAGGCUCACCAAGGCGACGAUCUGUAGCGGGUCUGAGAGGAUGAUCCGCCACACUGGAACUGAGACACGGUCCAGAC
This 306-nucleotide ribosomal RNA is filed under the name uncultured bacterium. RNAcentral's name for it is "bacterial SSU rRNA". It matches the Rfam family "Bacterial small subunit ribosomal RNA", at positions 30 to 336 of the family's 1533-position model. The record is from RNAcentral.